Molecule: long non-coding RNA, 570 nt
Filed under: Sorghum bicolor (sorghum)
Lineage: Eukaryota; Viridiplantae; Streptophyta; Magnoliopsida; Poales; Poaceae
Description: long non-coding RNA (SBIC_LNC003362)
Source: RNAcentral
CAUGAACACUCCCUACUUUGAGUUUAUACCAAUGUCUAGCUUUUCCCGUUAAAGAGAACGGAAAGAGCUUCCAUUUAAGGGUCUCAUCGGACAUGCCUUCUAUGCGAAGGAGGUCACAGACUCGAUAAAACUCUCUUAGGUGUGUGUAUGGGUUUUCCUCACCUUUUUCUGAGAAAGGUUGUUUUUGAAUAAAUUCUAUGUAUUCGGGGUCUAUCUCAAAACUAGAUGCUACGAUAGGCUUUGAAGAUUUUGGUGGUUCGAGAUGUGUGCCCAUAGGUCUAUGAAAUUCAUAGAUAGACAUGUUUGAAUUCAUAAUAGACCAGAGAUCAAGGAUUAGAUAAGAAGAAAGAAUAGCAGAGAUGAGGCAAAGAAUAAAAGGAAAAUAUUUUUAUUAUUAUUUUUUUUUAUAAAAUGAUUAAACUAGUUCGUAGUCAACUCAGCAACCGUUUCCCCGGCAACGGCGCCAAAAAUGCUUGUUGACACUUGCUAACACCACUUGAAUACUAGGUUGUCAUCCCCAGCAUGGCACUAGAGUGUACUAUGGUAUUUAUACGCACACAGAUGAUCCGC